CAGUCGAGCGGACCGACGGGAGCUUGCUCCCUUAGGUCAGCGGCGGACGGGUGAGUAACACGUGGGUAACCUGCCUGUAAGACUGGGAUAACUCCGGGAAACCGGGGCUAAUACCGGAUGCUUGAUUGAACCGCAUGGUUCAAUUAUAAAAGGUGGCUUUUAGCUACCACUUACAGAUGGACCCGCGGCGCAUUAGCUAGUUGGUGAGGUAACGGCUCACCAAGGCAACGAUGCGUAGCCGACCUGAGAGGGUGAUCGGCCACACUGGGACUGAGACACGGCCCAGACUCCUACGGGAGGCAGCAGUAGGGAAUCUUCCGCAAUGGACGAAAGUCUGACGGAGCAACGCCGCGUGAGUGAUGAAGGUUUUCGGAUCGUAAAACUCUGUUGUUAGGGAAGAACAAGUACCGUUCGAAUAGGGCGGUACCUUGACGGUACCUAACCAGAAAGCCACGGCUAACUACGUGCCAGCAGCCGCGGUAAUACGUAGGUGGCAAGCGUUGUCCGGAAUUAUUGGGCGUAAAGCGCGCGCAGGCGGUUUCUUAAGUCUGAUGUGAAAGCCCCCGGCUCAACCGGGGAGGGUCAUUGGAAACUGGGGAACUUGAGUGCAGAAGAGGAGAGUGGAAUUCCACGUGUAGCGGUGAAAUGCGUAGAGAUGUGGAGGAACACCAGUGGCGAAGGCGACUCUCUGGUCUGUAACUGACGCUGAGGCGCGAAAGCGUGGGGGAGCGAACAGGAUUAGAUACCCUGGUAGUCCACGCCGUAAACGAUGAGUGCUAAGUGUUAGAGGGUUUCCGCCCUUUAGUGCUGCAGCAAACGCAUUAAGCACUCCGCCUGGGG
Molecule: ribosomal RNA, 840 nt
Filed under: Bacillus haynesii
Lineage: Bacteria; Bacillati; Bacillota; Bacilli; Caryophanales; Bacillaceae
Description: bacterial SSU rRNA
Rfam family: Bacterial small subunit ribosomal RNA
Source: RNAcentral